Long non-coding RNA from Papaver somniferum (opium poppy), 525 nucleotides. RefSeq lists it as uncharacterized. The transcript is spliced from 3 exons. The record is from RefSeq and is a predicted model, not a curated record. NCBI's taxonomy places the organism in Eukaryota, Viridiplantae, Streptophyta, Magnoliopsida, Ranunculales, Papaveraceae.
AAAUAAAUUUAAUCGCUGGUCCAAAAACAUGUUUUUGGACCAGAUUUUUUACUCGCUCGUCUAGUACACGUGCAGAAGUUAUAAAGUGUAUUUUUUAAUUGGCCAAAACACCCUUUUAAGUCGGAUCUAAUUCUGUUUUAUCAGUUCGUUCGUUCAUCACAAAUUAGAGAGCUUUGGCAAUGGCGAUUGGUGGAAAAAUCUCGAAGAAUUCCAACUCUCGAUUCAAACUAAAACCAGAAGAGGCAAUAAUGGUGAAUCGUCAUUUUUCAGCUCCAACGAAUUUCGAUUCAAGUUCGAACGAUUGGAUGGAUGUUGUUGAGGCAAAUUUUAAAAAGGGGACAUCAUCCCAUUAGAUUGCAUAAAAGCUAAGGAUCUUGUGGAUGGAGAUGACAAAGAUUCUAAUGAUCAUGAUGGAAAUACAACUCGCUUUGCUACCGGUUCAUGAGAAGUAUGUUAUCAGGGUUACUCACUAUCCACACAGAAACAUGGUUACCGCACACAGAACCUUGGUUUCCUUAGGGUUAC